Dromaius novaehollandiae (emu) is the source of this 1356-nucleotide long non-coding RNA. RefSeq lists it as uncharacterized. The record is from RefSeq and is a predicted model, not a curated record. Lineage: Eukaryota; Metazoa; Chordata; Aves; Casuariiformes; Dromaiidae. The transcript is spliced from 2 exons.
CCUGAACAGAAGAGGGAAUGCAAAGGAAAAAAACACGCAAUUCUUAUAACAUAGAGCCUUUCACUGUGCCGACAGCUCUCCCGCCAUCCCCCCCCGACCUUUUUUCCCCCCUCAUUUUGACAGUUUUCUUUGACUUGCAUCAGCAGAGGGCAGGGUUUCUCCCUUACAAAUAACGGAUUGUUUUCUUGGCAAAAUCCCAAUAUCCAGCCAUUUAAAGGGUUCUGGUCCGCAGUCUUACAGUAGUAUUUACUCCAGAUAUAAUAUUUGAGCAUAUAUACCUCUUGACGGUCUUCAACCAUGAUUUUACUAUCUGCAAUGAACUGCUUUUCCUUGCUGUAUUACUAGCUGGAAGACAGAUCAUGACAGAAGGCCGAAUUCAACAAAGCAUAAUUUCUCAUCAAUGACAGACUCACCUGAUACCUACUAUCUGAACAUACUACAUGGUGUAUGCUGCCCUGGGGAUAUUGGCAUCAGUUCAGGAACAGGAACGUUUCGGGACAUAGAGACUGAAGUUACAACAAAUAUGUUUUUAAUAAAAAUAUAGAAUAAAAAUAUAAGCCCUAACAUUUUGACCCUCUUUCUGCUGCAGUAGUUAUUAGGAGCAUCUCAAUGGCAAGACACUUUCAGUUUAAAUUAGAUACAGAAAACUUAGAUUAUUAUGUUAAACAGUAUCCAACCUGAAGAGGAAACUACAUGUACAAAAAUGAGAAAUCUGAUGGGCAAGUAAACAUGUAAAAAAUCCUUUCAAUUUAAUACACUGCACAUUAUUUUUCAUAUUUUUAUUUUUCAUAUUUAAUUGACUGUAAUCUGUAAUCUUAAUCUGUAAUCCUUCCUUUCAGAAUUAUACAGAAUCUGUCCAAACUUAAAAAUGGUUGAAUUUUGCCACUUUUCAAUAAAAGAUCAUUGGACAAAUGAGCACUCUUCAGUGUGUGGAGAAAAACAACACAGCUCAGGAAUGAUACCAACUGCUUUGCGUUCUUCAAACUUGCAGGACAUCUGAAGACACAGGAUGGUUGAGGUUGGAAGGGACUUUUGGAGAUCAUCUAGUCCAACCUUUCCCCCCCUCCCCACCUACCCAAAGAGGAUCACCUAGAGCACAUUACCCAGGACCGUGUCUAGACGGCUUUUAAGUAUCUCCAAGGAUGGAACUUCCACAACCUCUCUGGGCACUUCAGGAAGAUCUCUGUCUGACUCUCUGAAGACUGAUUAAAUGUAUAGCAGGUUGCCCAGGACCAUGAAUAUCUCCAAGGAUGGAGACUUCCACCACUUCUCUGGGCAACCUGCUCCAGUGCUCAGUCACUCUCACAGUAAAAAAAAAUAAAAAUAAAAAUAAAAAAAAUCUAUAUUCAGAUGGAA